This is a non-coding RNA of Malus domestica (apple), 831 nucleotides long. The record is from RefSeq and is a predicted model, not a curated record. Lineage: Eukaryota; Viridiplantae; Streptophyta; Magnoliopsida; Rosales; Rosaceae.
UGGCUGCAGACUCCAUCAAAGCCUAGAAAUCGUUUUGCUUUUUUGGGCAUCCUCCUUUUUCUCCCUGCUCCUUGCUUUCCCCAACCUAGAAUCCUCAUCCUUUCCCCGAAUGAGAAAUUUGAAAUCCACAACCCAAAACUCACUCAUAGUGGCCCCUGCCUUGCCUCAUUCCUCAUAUCCUGAUGGUUCAUUCUCUCCAUUCGAUUCGAUUUUGGGCAUAAUAGUGGGAGUUGAGUAAUGGAGUUGCUGCCAUGCAAUGGAGUAUAGCAGGAGGCAGAGGACCUUUCACUCAAUCUAAUGGAUGGAGCUAGAACACCAGGUCUUGAUCUACAAAUACAUCCCAAUGUGCCCAUUUCGCCCACUCCGCUCAUCCCAAUCAAGAAGGCCCUUAAUUCUGCAUGAUUUUUGACAUUUUCGAACAAAAUUCUCAGGCCCAAUUCAUGUAAUUUCUUCAUUUUACUCAAAGGAAAAUGAUUUUCACACACUUUUUUUUUCUUAUGCACGUUUUUGCGUAUUUUGUUGCUUGAUUUUAUUUAAUUCAAAAGCUAGAAAUAAAUCUAAAUUUCUCAUGCCUUCAUUCUAAGUAUCUUUCGAUUUUCGUGGGGUUGUGUAUGUGCAGUGGGAUGAUUCUCCAACACCACUGAUCCUGAGCAGAACAUGUUCAUUGUGAAUUACAAGGAUUUCAUAGGUAAUGUAUAGAUUAGGGAUACACUUGAACCUAGAUAAGCAUGAAAAGCAUACGGUUUUGCUUGACCCAUCUAAUCACAGAAUUGUGUACCAUCAAUUCAAACGUUGUAGAACCAGUUUAAUGAAGUUGUAGUUGGUUGUGUG